RNAcentral lists this ribosomal RNA (212 nucleotides) under Escherichia coli. RNAcentral describes it as "partial 16S ribosomal RNA". It matches the Rfam family "Bacterial small subunit ribosomal RNA", at positions 1 to 218 of the family's 1533-position model. The record is from RNAcentral. Lineage: Bacteria; Pseudomonadati; Pseudomonadota; Gammaproteobacteria; Enterobacterales; Enterobacteriaceae.
UUAAAUUGAAGAGUUUGAUCAUGGCUCAGAUUGAACGCUGGCGGCAGGCCUAACACAUGCAAGUCGAACGGUAACAGGAAGCAGCUUGCUGCUUUGCUGACGAGUGGCGGACGGGUGAGUAAUGUCUGGGAAACUGCCUGGUGGAGGGGGAUAACUACUGGAAACGGUAGCUAAUACCGCAUAACGUCGCAAGACCAAAGAGGGGGACCUUC